UGGUGCUGCAGUGAUGGCUGCCUGCUGAAUUUCAGCCCCUGCUCCAGGAGGGGGGUAAAAUACCCUUUGGCACAAUGAAGAUGGCCACGGUCAAACAGAUGCUACUCAUUCUGCUUUGUUGCUCCAUGGAGAAAAAUGGAGGGGAAAGGCUUUUGCUGAAGCACUGGCUCUCCCAGGUGUGUGUGGGGAGAUAACAGCCUGCCGAGGGGGGUAAGCACUGCUGUCAGCAAAAUGCAUGGUGUGGAGAUGGAGGAAGAGUUGCACCUCCUGGCUCUGGGCAGUGCAAAUCACCCAGAGCUGCAGCACAGCAGUAUCCUCCACCAGGAUGGCUUCACCCGGACACACCUGCUUACCUGCUGUCACAUCCUAUUCAGCCCAUCAGGCUCUGCCUGGUGCUUUCAGGGUGCCUUCCCAUGUGCAGUGCUGCAAUAACCAGCCAGGAGCAGUGGCAUUGGUUUGGCCUUUCGUGCUUCAGUAUGAUGGAUGAAGAUGCUGAUAAAUAGCUGCCUCUAUGGGAGAGUGCUCUGAGUCCCCAGCUCUCAUACCUGGCUGUAGGAAUUGUCUUCCUGCUCACCUGUUAAAGGCUUCUGGAUCAUUGGAUGCUGUGCCCAGGGCAAAAGCCGUGCCCUGUGCACAAUAGGGGCUGGGGAUUUCCUGCUCCGCUGCUAUGAAAAACACUCCUCCUGCGGGACCAACAGCUGCAGUGAGGGGGCAAUGAAUGCAUAUCCCACAGGAGAGGGAAACAGUGGAAUAUCCUCAUCCAAGACAUGUCUGGGAAAGGAAAGAUUUCUUGAAGGAUUUUGGAUUUGGAAGAGCAGCACCUGAGCUCCUGGAGGCCCCAGCGGCUGCCAUGGGGAGCGGCACACAUCUGGGUGAGCAUCACACGGGGCUGUCGCGGCGCAUCCCACACCGCCCUCCCACCCGCUGCCUCCAGUGCUGAUCGGCGCUGCCCUGCAGAGCGCUUUGCUAUGCGAGAUGGAUGUGAGCUCCGUCUGGAAGGAUUAGCCUUUAAAAAGCACGGAGAGCGGAGCUUUGCUAAUGGGGAUCGUUGCGUCUCAGCCGCCCUUCCUUCCAGGGGAGGCGUGCGAAGUUCUCUUCCACCUGACAUCCCUCUGAGCGUUUAAACCCAACGAGUCCCAGGUCAACAGCAAACCUCCCACCGGCUCCGUAGGGUUGGGGCUGUGCCUCAGCCUCUCUGCUAACAAGAAGAGACAAGCUGAAGUGAGCGCUCAGACAGCAACCAUCAGGAUUUCACAGCGUGUUUUGCCAGCAACUUGUUGUUUUUAUUCAGUGAGGUUUUUUUUUUCCCUCCUCUGUGUGCUGUAGCGACUCAGCUCCAUCCCGGGCUGCUCCUGACAUUAACAAGGCAGCAGAUGACAGGCAAAAUGCGUCCACCAGCAAUUCUGAGUCUUCCCGCUAAGUAAUCAUAAAUGCUGCAAGUUUGCAACAAAGCGAGCAGCUGUCUCUCUCCCUCUGGACAAGAACUGCUUCCUCACAAAUUGAGGCUCUGCUGGGUUUUACAGCUGUCGGACAAUGAGUCUGGUGCUGUUAUUUCCUCUUCCUCCCCCCCCCCCCCCCCCCCACCCCCUUUUCCUUUCUUUUAAUGGAAAAUAUCUCAGCUUCGCCAGAACUCGAGUGGGCCCUCCAGCAGUGAAUCGAUUCAGUCAGGUGAUGAGGCUUUAAGGUCUGUUCUGGAGUGGGCACAGAGGGGCUGUGUUCCUGCACAUCCUCCUUCCAAGGCUUUAUUACCUUCGAUCCCACUCUUACGGGGAAGCAGACAUCUGUUUGGGGCUGGCAGAGGGUUUAACGGCGCACAACUGCCAUCCCAGAGAAUGGAGAGGGUUGGGACAGCCCCUGGGGAAGGUAACCUCGAGCUUUGCAGUUUCCUUCCAGACUGCUACAGCAUGGAUGGAGCCCCCAAAGAAACCUUCAUUCCUGUCCUAAAUGCAAGCAAAUGGAGAAUGAAGAUUGCUCUUUGUUACCUCACCGCUUCGAUGGAGUUGAUACCACGCUGGGAUGGCUGCACAGCCUCAGGAGCCUCUUGGAGACCGAUGUUCUGUGAUGCUUUUUGAGUGUCACCCCACAGGCUUCUGGUGCUGGGCAGGCAAAGGCCGUGUGGGUGCAUGGCUGAGGGCACAGGAGAGGAACGCUGCAGCUUCCCUGAGCCGUGGGCAUCGCUGCAGAGAGCUGCUGUAGGGCUCAGCAGCUGAAGGGCAGCACAGCACGGCUUUCCUGCAUCCCGUGGCUGCAGACUUGCUGCUGAGGGGGGCAGCACACCCCACAGCACAGCCAGAGAGCAGUGCAAAGGAAUUCCCUCCCCCACCGGGUGUUCACUGAUCCCACCUGAGCACACAGCUCCUCCUGGGCUGCUCAGUGCUAAGCAAACCCCAUUUGUCAGAUCCCUCUCAGUAUGUUGCUGCAACACUGCUCUCACCUGCAUUGCCCCUCUCCACAGUGUCGCCUUCUUGCCAUGACUGCCAGCUAAGAGGAGGCUUAAUUUUCUGCUGGUAUUCUGCAGCUCCCUCUGCACUCUCUCCCUCUUCCUCAGUGGGUCUGCUUAGCAGUGCAUGUUGGAUGAAAUUCAUACGUUCUGUUUGUGAUUGAGUGUAAUAAACUCUGGCUCCUGUGCCUUCCAGGUGGCUUUUGGGCAUGCAGCAUUUACUGCGUGAAGUGAUUGAUCUCUGAUCUUUAAAAUAGAGCUGUGAAGUCUACGGUGCAUUUGCAUGCAUGUGGAGUAUGAAGGCAGGAAAGAGCAGCUCAGAAACUCUCUAACCCCUGCCCUUUAUUUCCUUGGGUUGAGUUUUCCAUGUUUGACAAUGCGCGCGGUGGUGAUUUAUGUAUAACCAGAGCAGCCCCCAGUGGUCGGAUCUGUGAACUUUUCCAAGCUGCCCUUUUUGCAGCUCGCUCGUGGGUUUUGCAGAACCCCAACCCCUAUUUACCUCCGUGCUCUGAGCUCCGUUUAGGAGGAGAGGGACAGCUGGGAGCUGCGGGUGCGCUGCUUAUUCUGCUGGGAGCCAAUUCUGCCUCUAAUUGAGCUGAAAGCAGCUGCUCUGCCCUCGCCGCCGCAGGCCUGCUGUGCACAGCAGUUUUUGACAAUAGCUGAGAUAUAGGGAUACAGCGCUGCCUGUGCCAGCAUCC
Long non-coding RNA from Gallus gallus (chicken), 3138 nucleotides. RefSeq lists it as uncharacterized. Lineage: Eukaryota; Metazoa; Chordata; Aves; Galliformes; Phasianidae. The transcript is spliced from 3 exons. The record is from RefSeq and is a predicted model, not a curated record.